UGUGUGUGUGUGUGUGUGUGUGUGUGAGAGAGAGAGAGAGAGAGAGAGAGAGAGAGAGAGAGAGAGAGAUGUUACACUGUAAGAAGUUGUAGUUGAAACUCCGCCUUUUCUCCACCGGAAAUGACUCAAAAGUGAAAGUGAAAGCGGAUAAUUUUUGUGUUGAGAAAAACGCGAUGCUCUUUGGAACAGAAUCGCAUUGACUUUAAUCUUUAUUGAAUAACGCGGUGUGACGCAGUAACUUAACCUGAGGGAAGUUAACAGACCCGUGUGUCCUGCUGUGUUUCUUACACACAGUGUGUAAAGUUUACAGCUGUUAUUUAUUAAAGAGGGAAUAAUAUUCAUAUACAUUAUAACAAUUCCUGACAGAUUUCCACUCUCUCUUCUUUAUCUCUAACACACACAAUAAGCAGAAAUAAACACGAAGCCACUUCCUGUUUAGAAGGUAGUGUCACGUUUCAUGGGCGGAGACGGAAGCAGAUGCAGCAGGACUCAGCUAAACUAAUACUGAGACAGCAGACAUUAGACUUUCUGAAAUAAUGUCGGGGGAGUGUGAGGAACUCAGAACAUCUGAAAUGAGUCAUCAAGAGGAGCAGCACAAGAUCCAAAGUGGAACUGUGGAAAGGUCAAAUUCUCCUGUAUCCAGCUGCGUGUCCUUUAAGAGUGACCGCUCACUGCCACUUCCUCCCGAAUUUAAAGGUGGAACAUCCUCUGUGGAAAGGUAUUCCUUAUCCUGCUCAUUAAAAUCACAGCCUCUCAUUUGUUCCUAUUCAUAUUUAUUCAUGUUCUUCCUAUUCAUAACAUGAGAUAUGAGAUGGUGUUAAAUGAAGGAAGUUUUAGAAGUAGUCGAGCAUGUACUUUUAAUGCAUUAUAAUGCAC
Molecule: long non-coding RNA, 876 nt
Organism: Ictalurus punctatus (channel catfish)
Lineage: Eukaryota; Metazoa; Chordata; Actinopteri; Siluriformes; Ictaluridae
Source: Ensembl